GCACGGUAGCAUGUGGCAUGAACCACCGGGAUUCCCUGAGUAAGGGCGACUGAAAGGGGAUGAGCCCAGCGCAUAACCUCGCGGUCAUGUUUUGGCCGUCGAGGGGUGUUGCGUUUCGGUGGAUCCGUACCGCUCGAAUUGCUAACCGCCUAAGUCAUUGCUUGAAUGCAGCCCCAAGGAGGGUGGUAGGCCCGUGUGGCGGCGCCUGUAAAAAGGUCUGGAAGCAAUUUGGGCGGAGGGGUCUUAACCGUAGAGUCGGGUUGCUUAGUACUGCAGCCCUAAGUAGGUGGUAAACUCCAUCUAAGGCUAAAUACAACCACGAGUCCGAUAUUUGACAAGUACCGUGAGGGAAAGCUGAAAAGGACUCUGAAGAGAGAGUUCAAGAGGACGUGAAACCAUUAGAAGCUGAAACGGGUGGAACCGUCAAGGUGGAAAGAGGGGAUUCAGGCCGUUGGCUGGAGCGCGUUGGCGGCGAGUCAAGGCGAGAUACUGUGGACCCGGCGUACGAGUGAGUCGUCCGGGCACUCGCUGCUGCGUGGCUGCGGCCAGCGGUCUUACUUCUCCCUCGAGUACUUUACGUGGCGACCCGCUGCCUGGAUCCCUGAGGUGCCUGGAGGAUUGGUAGCCCGGACCUUUGCGGGUCUGGGCGAAGACCUGUUGGGUGACUGAGAGGGUUCGGGCGGCGGUCACUGCGAGGAGGCGGCAUCAAUCAUGUUGGUGCUGCCUCUCGCCACGUGAGAGGUAUCGGUCAUCCACCGACCCG
This 763-nucleotide ribosomal RNA is filed under the name Macrobrachium equidens. RNAcentral describes it as "eukaryotic LSU rRNA". It matches the Rfam family "Eukaryotic large subunit ribosomal RNA", at positions 38 to 651 of the family's 3401-position model. Lineage: Eukaryota; Metazoa; Arthropoda; Malacostraca; Decapoda; Palaemonidae. The record is from RNAcentral.